AGUGACAGCAGCUUGUUAAGGCUAAUGAACGGCUGAAUUUCCUCUGCCGGGAUCCAAAGCAGGAUUUGCCAGCUUGAGGCUGAGAUGUAACAGUCUCUGCUUUAGCAAAAGAGGUUUGGCUUUUGGUAUAAGGAGCCGAGUGGCAAGGCGGAUCCUUUAACUGUACCAUUGUUGCUAGUUCACUUCUGGUCAGAGGCUGUGAGUUUUCCUCCAGGUAUUGGCGUCUGGUGUCUCUGUGUCCACACAUGCAUUCUUGUCCAAGGACGCUAGCAGAUGCUUGACUCUGUCUCUCUGUAAACACAUACACAGUUCACAUAUUUUUAGAAUAAAGUCUUUCUUCAAUGCAUCCUUUUCCUUAUCCUUAACGAGAGUGUGUCUCAUGAAGGGUCUCACUGGAUCUUUUUCUUCCUUUUAUUUCCAAUGCUAAUUAAACCAAAAUCUUCUGAAAUAGCCUUCAUUUCACACUGUCAGCCCACUGGCCUGGGCUGCCAGGUGCUAUAUCAGCCAGGAAAACAAAGCAAACUGUAGGGUCUGUCCAUCCGUAGGUUUGCCUCAGUCCCCAAUUCGCAGAUAGCCUUGUCAUGAAUUAGAAUUUCUUGGCAACAGCACCACCCAGGGAAAUUUGUAGACACAAAGGAGCCUUGCUAGCCACACUGAAAGGAUAAAAUAACUGUUUUUUUUUGUAUUGUGCAAUGGGCUUUUAAUUAUCUUUGCUGGACCCCACGACUGGCAAAUGCAGAAAAUCGCUCUGUGAUUCCAGUUCACUCGAUAUAUCAGUUAGCCUAUGUGUUAGAACUGCGAUUUGCUGAAAGUUUAGGACAGCUCCCCAACUUAACUUGAAUGGUGCCAGAGGGGCAGAUGAGUAUACAAUGUGAAUACACAUAUCCAUAAUGGCCAGGAAACAGUGCCCAUGUCUGUGCCAUUCGGAAAUGAUUAGAGGUUUGACAUUCUAGUCAUUCCUUUUUCCUCUUCCUCCCUCUCCCCUUCCUGAUUUUCUUUGUCCAAGUUCCACCCAUUCCUUAACUUUCAAAUGGGUGCCAAACUCCCUCCCUUGCUACCAGCCAACUGUAACUGCUAUGAUUUCCAUACUCUUGUGCAGAGCUUUUUACUUCCCCG
RNAcentral lists this long non-coding RNA (1116 nucleotides) under Homo sapiens (human). RNAcentral describes it as "HSALNT0308475". The record is from RNAcentral. Lineage: Eukaryota; Metazoa; Chordata; Mammalia; Primates; Hominidae.